Molecule: small nuclear RNA, 107 nt
Filed under: Olea europaea subsp. europaea
Lineage: Eukaryota; Viridiplantae; Streptophyta; Magnoliopsida; Lamiales; Oleaceae
Source: RNAcentral
AAUUUAAAUUUAUGGAUUAUUGGAUAGAAUUGGAAUGAAACAUAGAAGGUAAACGUGAUCCCUGCAUGAAGAUGAUAUGCGCAAAUCAAGAAAUGUGUCUAUAUAAG